CCGAGUUUACAACUCCCAAACCCCUGUGAACAUACCUAUACGUUGCCUCGGCGGAUCAGCCCGCGCCCCGUAAAAAGGGACGGCCCCGCCCGAGGACCCCUAAACUCUGUUUUUAGUGGAACUUCUGAGUAAAACAAACAAAUAAAUCA
This 149-nucleotide unclassified non-coding RNA is filed under the name soil metagenome. RNAcentral's name for it is "partial internal transcribed spacer 1". The record is from RNAcentral.